GAUGAACGCUGGCGGCGUGCCUAAUACAUGCAAGUCGAGCGAACAGACGAGGCGCUUGCUUAUCUGCAGUUAGCGGCGGAUGGGUAAUUAACACGAGGAUAACCUACCUAUAAGAAUGGCAUAACUUCGGGAAAGCGGAGCUAAUACCGGAUAAUAUAUUGAACUGCAUGGAUCUAUAGAGCAAGCCGGCUUAGAUGUGACUAAUAGAGAGAUCCGAGCUGCAUUAGUUAGUUGGUAAGGUAACGGCUUACCAAGGCAACGAUGCGUAGACGACCAGGGAGUAUGAUCGGCCAUACUGGAACUAAGACACGGUCCAGACUCCAACGGAAGACGGCAGUAGGAAAACUUCCGAAUGGGGCGAAAGCCGGACGUAGCAAGGCCGCGUGGGUAAGGAGGGUCUUCGAUUCGUAAAACGCUGUUAUUAGGGAAGAAGAAAUGUGUAAUAAACGUUGUAGUUCUGAAGGUAACCAAAUCAGAAAGCCACGCCGAACUACGG
RNAcentral lists this ribosomal RNA (496 nucleotides) under uncultured bacterium. Its description in RNAcentral is "partial 16S ribosomal RNA". It matches the Rfam family "Bacterial small subunit ribosomal RNA", at positions 28 to 506 of the family's 1533-position model. The record is from RNAcentral.